Molecule: long non-coding RNA, 8395 nt
Filed under: Hordeum vulgare
Lineage: Eukaryota; Viridiplantae; Streptophyta; Magnoliopsida; Poales; Poaceae
Description: long non-coding RNA (HVUL_LNC017717)
Source: RNAcentral
ACGGUCAAUAACCAAUAAUGGGACCUAGAUGCCCAUAUUGGUUCACAAAUAUUCUAUGUAUAUCUUUAUAAGUCGAACCAACGAUGUUAAGGAUUCAGCUAAUCCCGUAUGAAGUUCCCUUUGUCCAUCGAUAUAUUAUUUGACCGAGAUUCGAUCGUCGGUAUCUCCAUACCUAGUUCAAUAUCGUUAUCGGCAAGUAUAUUUACUCGUUUUAUAAUACAAGAUCUCGUGACUAACUCCUUGGUUACAUUGCUUGCAAGCUUUUUGUGAUGUUGUAUUACCGAGUGGGCCCAGAGAUACCUCUCCGUCAUACAGAGUGACAAAUCCCAAUCUUGAUCCAUGCCAACUCAACGGACACCCUUGGAUAUACCUGUAGAGCACAUUUAUAAUCAUCUAGUUACAUUGUGACAUAUGAUACACAAAAGGCAUUCCUCCAGUGUCAGUGAGUUGCAUGAUCUCAUGGUAAUAGGAACAAAUACAUUGACAUGCAGAAAGCAAUAGUAGUAAAGUGGAUACGAUCAAACACUAUGCUUAAGGUUUGGGUCAUGUCCAUCACAUCAUUAUCCUAUGAUGUGAUCCCAUUAUCAAAUGACAACUCAUGUCUAUGGCUAGGAAACCUUAGCCAUCUUUGAUCAACGAGCUAGUUUAGUAGAGGCUUACUAGGGACACUUUGUUGUAUAUGUAUUCACACAUGUAUUUGAAUUUCCAAUCAAUACAACUAUAGCAUGGAUAAUAAACGUUUAUCAUGAACAAGGAAAUAUGAUAAUAACCAAUUUAUUAUUGCAUCUAGGGCAUAUUUCCAACAAAGAUAGCAAUUAGUGUUUAUCUGAAAGCUAACACCUUCUGCACCCAUGUGCACAUGCUCACAAAACUCAGUCACUCAGCCCUUGAGACAAACAUAGACAUAGCCGUGUAAACCACAAAAAUCGAAAAGGAAACAAGCUUGCUAUGGAGGGCUAAUACAUUAGAUACCACUAUUCUUUAGACAAACUUGUAAGCAGGACACACCUGUUCACACCUUCAGCAUGAGAUUAAAUUUGUAAGCUAGAAAAAGAAGAACCUUUCUUUAAAUUUAAUGAAGGCCACAAAAUUGCUUCUCCAUGACGCGUUGUCGGCUUGCCUUAGACUGAUAAUGCGGUACAGAUAGAAGAAAACUCAAUUUUCCUACACCUUUUCAAUUAGCAAUGACUUAUAUUUCUCCAUGUGGUGAUAGAGAAAUAUUCCAAAUUCCCUCCGAUGAUCGGUAUCUACAAGACUGUAAAACAUGUUUCACUUGUCAAUCAACAUCAGAUGAUGAUUUAUCAUAAUAUGAAAUGAGAAAAUUAAGAAUAGAUAAUUUGGUAGAAAGAAACAACAUUCAGUUACAUAGUUCACACGCUACUUCGAUCCAUCGCUUGUGUGCAACUGGGAAACUUGUGAGGCUCUAAAUGCUAGAUGCGGCUCAUUUGCGUCCUUGGGUGGUUCAUAACGAACUAGAGGGAAACACCUGCGAUUGGGCCGGAGUGGCGACGGGGAUGGGGAGGGAAUUGUGCAGACAUAUGAGAACGUGAGCACAACACGCCCAGCAGUGCAAUGCUACGCGUUGCUUGAUCUGCGGCAGUGGCAGGCAAAGCGCAUAGCAAGAUUUGGUUGAGAGGGGAAGGGGUCCAUACCACAAAAAACGAAGUUCGAGUCGGAGUUCCGGCAGCGCAUGGAUGUAGGGGACCGACAACGCGUCAAGGUGAAAAUCUGGUGGUGCGUCGAGGCGGAGGUGGCGGCACCUAGCACCUCCUUAGCCGCCGCGAGAACUCUCCUUCUUCUCCCCUCUCCUAUUCUCCCAAAGAUGCACCGCUUUCCAGGUCGACUUCACCCGCAACCAUCGAUUGUCCCCACCGCUGCCCGUGACCGACGCAACACAGGCAACCCGUGCGAAGCGGAUGGGUUGCUUCCCGUGUAUAUACUUUCUUUUUUCCCGUCGUGGAACAAAUGCGAUUGUGGGAGAGUUUUCGUCCGCCACCUCAAAUCGCUAAACGUAUCUUUCAAUGAGAAUUACUUGUUAUAUCUACGGUUAGAUCUAAAUGAGUCGGUCUAAUUGUAAAGGUCUAAUUGAUCGGGAAUGUUAUGUGUGGAUUACGCCGGCUGCGUUUAGCAAUAAACAUGUUUGGUUGUUUAAUAGUAGUAGAGAUGCACGGCCAAGUUCGGUACUUGGGAACAUGAACUAUGUAAAAAAAUUGAAGUGUUCCCGAAAAUAUUAAUGUUCUGUCAUAGUUUUCAUCAUAUGUAGCAAAAAUAAAUAAUAUUCCAUCAAUCCUCUUUAAUUCUACAAUAAAUGCAUGUAAAUAAUUUGAAGCUUUUGUAUAUUCUUUUAGCCUCAGUUUACAGUUGACAAAAUGUGAUGUGAUGUGGUUACUUUAACAUGGACUAUGGAAAAUUGACAAUGGGAGUACAAAAAAGUCGGUCAAGUAAAAAAUAUAAUAGAAAAAAAAUGGUCAAGGCAAAUGUCAAACUCAUGCCGUUUUGGAUUUAAUAGCUUGGAUCUUUAUUGACAUAACCGUGUCCUUCCAGAAUCAACAUGUAUAGACAGAUAUACUUGUGGUAACGUGAUAUACUAAUAAUAUGCAUGCAAAUAAUAUGAAGCAUUGAAUUAAUUAUUAAUGCUUCGGGCUAAAUUGAUAUUGUAUAGUUUGCUAUCGUUUUUUUUUAGUUGAACAAAAGGUCUUUGAAGGAACUAGCAGUAUACCAAAACAUUAUGCAUACCAAGUUUAUUAUGUAAUUUUGUUGAUAUAGGCCAGUUUAUUCCUCAACCAUCUGCAAUGUAAAGAGGAUUCAAUAUCGUUUUGUAAGUUAUACUUGCAUGCUACGUUAUGCAUUCCCAUCGUAUAAUUAUUUUUUAUCUAAAAAGCAUAUAACCAACCCUUACACAAAAAAUAUAAUAUGUUCGCUUACACAAUAGUAGAAAUAAGGGUUUUCGUCCCAGCUCGAAAAACACAUUAGUCCCGGUUCCUUUAUGAACCGGGACUAAUGUUAGUAUUAGUCCCGGUUCGAGCGGCAAAGGCGCCGGUCGGGCAUUAGUCCCGGUUCAAAUGGGACCUUUAGUCCCGGUUCGUGUCUCGAAACGGGACUAACGGGUUUGGAGGAUUUAGUCCUGGUUCGUGUCUUGGACCUUUAGUCCCGGUUCGUGUCUCGAACCGGGACUAAAGGGUUUGGAGGAUUUAGUCCCGGUUGGUGUCUUGAACCGGGACUAAAGGGUAGACCUUUAGUCCCGGUUCGUGAUACGAACCGGGACUAAAGGUGUUCAGAUUUUUUUUUCUGUUUUUAAAUUCUUGUUUGUAAUUUCUGUUUUAAAUUGCUUAUAUCUUUUAGAAUAUUUGAUGUUUUUGAUUGACUCUUUUUGCAUUAGAUUCAAAAUUUUGUCUAGUUUCUGUUUGUGCCAUUAGUUUUCAAAUUUGAAUGGUUUAAAUUUGAAUUUGUUUAAAUUUGCUUCAAACCCAAUUUUUGAAUAACUUGAGUUUACAAAUAGUUUUUAAUUUAAUUAUUUUUGCUCCCACUCAUGUGUUAAAUUGUUGUCACAGUAAGAUUUAUUUGGUUAUUUUUAGAAUAAUUUAAAUUAGGAUUUUAAUUAAAGAAAUAUUGUUUUGCUUAUAUAGUUGUUUUAGUCAUUUAAUUGUUGUUUUUUAUUAUUUUUAGUUAGUUCUUUCUGUAGAUUUUAACAUGUUGUAGUAUGGUGCAUAUUUAAUGCACAAAAAAGCUACAGUUCAAUUAAUUUAAAAAAAAUGCCUUUGAGGCAGAUGGGUUUUCGUCUGAAACCUUGAUACUUUGAGUUUUGUAGAAAACAAACAAAAAUGAUAAAAUCUUCAAAAAAUAAACAAAAAUGAUAAAAUCUUCAAAAAAUAAAAUCCUUUGAGAUGUUGUUAGGUUUUAGUGUCUAGUCUGUAUAGAAAUUUUGAGAUAUGAAUUUUGACCGUUUUUGCAAAAAAAGGAAAAAAAAUAAACGGCCAUAACUUUUGCAUACAACGUCCAAAAAAAAUUAAUAUAUCAAAAAAAACUAGAAUAAAUUGGUACUCGAUUUCACCGGGGCUUGCCCGGUGAAGUUUUCUCACAUGCUCAAAAUUCCAAAUGGAAAAAAAGUUAUUUCAAAAAGAAGUUUUUUCCAAAAAAAAGAAAAAUAAUUUUAUUUAAAAAUAUUAGGUUGUUUUCAUUGAAAUUCACUAUUAUUGUUACUUAUUAAGUUUAUUUUAAUAAUUGUUUGUAAUUCAAAAAAUUAAAUCAUGUGACAUGACAUCAAGACCCAAGUUGUUUAGGAUUGAUAGCUUACUGUUGUCAGGAAAACAACAAGUGCACAAUUGGCAACUAGGGGCGAUAGAACCAGAAAGUUAAGCGUGCUCGGGCUAAAGCAGUGAAAGGAUGGGUGAUCGGUCGGGAAGUUAGACGAUUUGAAAUGAGUGAUCCACGCUAGAGCAGUGAGGAUGGGUGAUUAGAGAUUAAAUUGUCAAAUAAUUCAAAGAUUAGAAAAUUGGAAUAAAACAUAAAAAAUAUUCAAAAAUAAAAUUUGAAAAAAAUUAAAAAAAAAAUCUACCUUUUCGGGUCAAACAAACAAAAAAAACAGACGGAUCCUUUAGUCCCGGUUCGUAAGUAGAACCGAGACUAAAGGUACUCCCUCCGAGGCGGCCACGUGGAGCACCUUUGGUCCCGGCUUGGAACAGGGCCGGGACUAAAGGUUAGGCCUUUAGUCCCGGUUGGUGAACCGGGACUAAAGCCCCUUACGGGCCGGGACUAAAGGCCAUGUCCCCACUAGUGACAUAUCACACACAUCAAUGCACUAACCUGACUUGAAAACUUGUUCACUCCCUCUUCUUGCUGUGAUGGAGAAAUCAAGCAGCCACACCAGCAACAGAUUUGAUUUUAGUGUGUAAUGAUGAACACUACUCUGGAAAAUCCGAAAACAAAAUCAAGGUAUUGCAAAUAGAUUAUGACAGAACGACAUCCAUGUUCUUACCCGAGUGGCAUCCUAGCUAGUAACUAUUUUCCAACAUAUUGUAGAUAUCUAUCUCAUAUACAUGAAAUUGCCAAUUUAUAAAUAUAACAACGGAAGCAACACAAAGAAAUCGAAGAUGAAAAUUGGAAUAAAACAUAAAAAAUAUUCAAAAAUAAAAUUUGAAAAAAAUUAAAAAAAAUCUACCUUUUCGGGUCAAACAAACAAAAAAAACAGACGGAUCCUUUAGUCCCGGUUCGUAAGUAGAACCGGGACUAAAGGUACUCCCUCCGAGGCGGCCACGUGGAGCACCUUUGGUCCCGGCUUGGAACAGGGUCGGGACUAAAGGUUAGGCCUUUAGUCCCGCCCCUUUAGUCCCGGUUGGUGAACCGGGACUAAAGCCCUUACGGGCCGGGACUAAAGGCCCUGUCCCCACUAGUGACAUAUCACACACAUCAAUGCACUAACCUGACUUGAAAACUUGUUCACUCCCUCUUCUUGCUGUGAUGGAGAAAUCAAGUAGCCACACCAGCAACAGAUUUGGUUUUAGUGUGUAAUGAUGAACACUACUCUGGAAAAUCCGAAAACAAAAUCAAGGUAUUGUAAAUAGAUUAUGACAGAACGACAUCCAUGUUCUUACCCGAGUGGCACCCUAGCUAGUAACUAUUUUCCAACAUAUUGUAGAUAUCUAUCCCAUAUACAUGAAAUUGCCAAUUUAUAAAUAUAACAACGGAAGCAACACAAAGAAAUCGAAGAUGAAAAAAUAAAGAACUUACUCUGAAUAUGCAUGGCUGCUAGCAGUGCACUGAGAGCAUGUCCGUGACUGGGGCUGGCGUAUUAUCUCUCCCGCGCACCUGGCCGACACCGAACUGCAGCCCAAAGCCUCGUCAUCCCAAUGUUGGUGCUGGUGCACUUUGUUGCCGUACAAAGCAUCAGCAUGAAAUCUAUUAACCUAGCGUGGGCAACUUUCCGGCCGAUUGAAAGCUGGCUAGCCUUCAACGUAAUCGACCCAGCAGCUUGGUUCCAAAGAUACAUCAUUUAUUUGUAUGUCUCAGCAGAAUUAACAUAAGUAUGCAUGAAUGCUUAGUAGCCAGCGCGUCCACGGACACUGACCGGUCACGUAUCAAAUAAUGCAUUCUACAUCCGGAGAUUCUAAAUUAGAAACCUCAAAUCCAUACUAUUACAUACAACGUAAACCUAAUACUAAAGAAGCUCGCCCGGCUUCGUCGUGUCCAUGCCCGAAGGCUGGCUGCGCCCCUGGCCAGGUAGAGUAGGACAUGAGACAAUAGCCGUCUCAUGUGAGUCGAGCUCCCGCCGUCUCCCAUGCCCUACUCUUCCACGUCGGAGCCGGUAACCCGGAUGGUGCCAGUCAACAUGAGGUGGCUGACGGAUCCUUCCUGGGAGGAGUGGACGUCCAUCACGACGCGGUUGUGUCGCCCACACUCGUGCACCCUACUGGUUGCCGGAGAGUGCGACUCCGCCUAUUCAACAUCCACCGCCGCGAGGGCCUCCACCACAUCACGUGCCCCCUGCCUCGCCCGACGGGCACACCGCGCCAUUACAUCAUUCGAGGACGGCCAUGCUUCGUGCUCGGAGCGCCAACGGAGGGUUUCGCUUCCGCCAUGGUGUUCAGACGCAAAACCGACCGCACCAUCACUGAUGAGGCAGCGAUGCCGGAUCCAAACACCGAUUGUGCGGACGCAAUAGAUUUCCGGCGUUGCAAGUCCGAGCGCUGCCGUCGUGCGGCCACCUCCCGAGAGUGGCGGAGCGCAACCUGGACGGCCAUCUCCUCCUUGGGGCCACGUGGGACGAGCUUGUGGUCGACGGAUCUGGAGGUGAAGCACUGAGAUCAGCUAACCACCAUCCCGAUGGUUAGUUUGGGUGGCGGAUGGGAGUGAAGUGAAGUGGCUAGGGAUUUGUCCGACGAACGGAUGGGGACGAAUAUAUGUAGGGUGGAUGCAGGCCUGAGCGGGCCAAUGCGGGCAAGGUGGGCAUGCCCAGACAAGCCCGGGCUCCCUCAUAUCCAUCCCAUAUGUAGACUGGAUAUGAGGGGUGCUGAUCAGCCCAGACGUUUCAGGCCGGUUGAGGGGUCCGUCUAGGUUGCUUUUUCAUGACCGAUGAGUGAUCGGGCGGCCUGCCCGGGCGUUUGAGGAGGGUUUAAAAGGUCUGAUUGUAGAUCCUCUUAGGAUUUUCUUUCGCGGGAAGAGAUCGUUAUAUUUGACAUGACAUAUUCUUUUCAUUGAUUAAAAUGGGGAUUCUCAAUAUAUGGAUUAAUUUGGACCUUAAUAAUUCAGACCCACCAAAAGAGCAGUUCCUAAUUUUUAAUUAAGCUUUAAAUUUCUAAUUCUAAAUAUAUGGAUUAAUUUGGACCAUAAUAACUUGGUCUCAUUAGAUAAGCAGCUCCUAAUUACAUAUUGACAUGAUAAUUUCUGGAUAAGUGGAUCCUAAUUAUUGAUUAAUGUGAUGAUUUCUAGACAAAUGGAUCCUAAUUACUGAUUAACACGGUAAUUUCUAGGAAGUCUUUAAUUAAUAUAGGUAUAGAUAUAAAUAGAUAGAUGCAACUAAUAAUAACUUGUCGGAUCACCCGACACAACGUACCUGAUCGUGCAACAAAUCAUGCUACAGCUUUCGCGGCGUCUUGCCGCUUCUCGGCAAAAUUGACAAAAAUGACCCCUGGGGCGAAAGAACUCACGGAUUGACCCCUCGGGGGAAAUAAUUCACCGGCCUGACCCUUUUGUAUGGCGCCCGACACCUAGGCGCCACACUGUACUGUGUGACGCCUAGAGGUUCGGCGCCACACCCCCGACCACGUGGCAGGGAGGGGCCCACCCCUAGGCAGUGUGACGCCUAAGCCUCAGGCAUCACACAUUGUAAUGUGUGGCGCCUAACGCUUAGGCGCCACACAUUGACUUAUACAGCCACGGGCCAGCCCCCCUCCCCACCCCCUCCCUCAUUCAAACAGAAACUGCCACUGCGGUGGCGGCUGGCUCUCAUCCCCUCCCUAAUCCCCUCCCCCAUCUCCUUCAGAUCUGGGGAUUUCUUUCUUGGAUUGAUCUCCCAAGGUAAUGUCCUCCCCCAUCCCUUCCCUUUCCCAUCCUUCUAUCCAAUUGUAUUAGGUUUUGGUUGAGUAGAUUGAUUUUAGUAGAUUGAUUUGAGUAGGUUCUUAGGAUUUGACUAGUUAGGAUAUGAGUUAGGAUUUGGUUGAGUAUAUGAGUAGUUAGUAGUUAGUAGUAGUAGUAGUUAGUAGUAGUAGUAGUUAGUAGUAGUAGUUAGUAUUAGUAGUAGUUCAUAUGAGUAUAUGAGUCUUAUUUGAAUAUGAGUAUCAGUAGUAGUUCAUAGUAGUUAGUAUUAGUAGUAGUUCAUAUGAGUAUAGUUAGUAUUAGUAGUAGUUCUUAGGAUUGUAGGAUGGUGUAAUUUUUUGAAUAUGAGUCUUAUUUGAAUAUN